UUACGGCCAUAUCACGUUGAAACACAGGUUCCCGUACGAUCAGCGAAGUUAAGCAACGUCUAGCCCGGUCAAUACGAAGAUGGGUGACCGUUUGGGGGAUACAAAGUGCUGUAAG
Molecule: non-coding RNA, 115 nt
Organism: Acanthosepion pharaonis
Lineage: Eukaryota; Metazoa; Mollusca; Cephalopoda; Sepiida; Sepiidae
Source: the annotation of a GenBank genome assembly